CGGAACUCUGCAAAUUGACACCGUAACUUCGGGAGAAGGUGUGCCGCUGGCGGUUAGUGACUUCGCGUCACGAAGCUGUCGGUGGUCGCAGUGAAAUGGCGGUUGUGACUGUUUACUAAAAACACAGGACUCUGCGAAGUCGUAAGACGACGUAUAGGGUCUGAUGCCUGCCCGGUGCUGGAAGGUUAAGGGGAUAUGUCAGCGCAAGCGAAGCAUUGAACCGAAGCCCCAGUAAACGGCGGCCGUAACAAUAACGGUCCUAAGGUAGCGAAAUUCCUUGUCGGGUAAGUUCCGACCUGCACGAAGGGCAUAACAACAUCCGCACUGUCUCGACCAGGGACUCAGCGAAAUUACAUUGGGGGUGAAGAUGCCCUCUACCCGCGGAAAGACGGAAAGACCCCAUGAACCUUUACUGCAACUUGGCAGUGAUUUUCGGGUUGUUCUGCGUAGGAUAGGUGGGAGGCUUUGAAGCCGGGCUUCCGGGUUCGGCAGAGCCAACGUCGAAAUACCACCCUGAAUAAUCUGGAAACCUAACCUGCGCCCAUGAUCUGGGCGAGGGACACUGCCUGGUGGGCAGUUUGACUGGGGCGGUCGCCUCCUAAAUUGUAACGGAGGCGUGCGACGGUUCCCUCAGGCUGAUUGGAAACCAGCCGUAGAGUGCAAACGCAUAAGGGAGCUUUACUGCGAGACUGACAAGUCGAACAGUUGCGAAAGCAGGUGUUAGUGAUCCGGUGGUACCACAUGGAAGGGCCAUCGCUCAUCGGAUAAAAGGUACUCUGGGGAUAACAGGCUGAUCGCGCCUGAGAGUUCACAUCGGCGGCGCGGUUUGGCACCUCGAUGUCGGCUCAUCGCAUCCUGGGGCUGGAGCAGGUCCCAAGGGUUUGGCUGUUCGCCAAUUAAAGCGGUACGCGAGCUGGGUUUAAAACGUCGUGAGACAGUUUGGUCCCUAUCUUCCGUGGGCGCAGGACACUUGAGAGGAGCUAUCCAUAGUACGAGAGGACCUGGAUGGACGAACCUCUGGUGCUCCGGUUGUCACGCCAGUGGCAUAGCCGGGUAGCCAUGUUCGGAACAGAUAACCGCUGAAGGCAUAUAAGCGGGAAGCUGGCCUCAAGACUAGGUGUCCCUGACGCAAGUCACUAAAGGCCCCCCGAAGACUACGAGGUUGAUAGGCUCGGUGUGGAAGCGCUGCGAGGCGUGGAGCUAACGAGUACUAAUAGGCCGUGCGACUUGACCUC
RNAcentral lists this ribosomal RNA (1235 nucleotides) under metagenome. RNAcentral's name for it is "bacterial LSU rRNA". It matches the Rfam family "Bacterial large subunit ribosomal RNA", at positions 1708 to 2925 of the family's 2925-position model. The record is from RNAcentral.